This 1176-nucleotide unclassified non-coding RNA is filed under the name Candidatus Phytoplasma oryzae. RNAcentral's name for it is "bacterial SSU rRNA". It matches the Rfam family "Bacterial small subunit ribosomal RNA", at positions 160 to 1368 of the family's 1533-position model. The record is from RNAcentral. Lineage: Bacteria; Bacillati; Mycoplasmatota; Mollicutes; Acholeplasmatales; Acholeplasmataceae.
CCGCCAACCUCUUUUAUUUUUAAAGACCUUUUUCGGAAGGUAUGCUUAAAGAGGGGCUUGCGUCACAUUAGUUAGUUGGCAGGGUAAAGGCCUACCAAGACUAUGAUGUGUAGCUGGACUGAGAGGUUGAACAGCCACAUUGGGACUGAGACACGGCCCAAACUCCUACGGGAGGCAGCAGUAGGGAAUUUUCGGCAAUGGAGGAAACUCUGACCGAGCAACGCCGCGUGAACGAUGAAGUAUUUCGGUAUGUAAAGUUCUUUUAUUGAAGAAGAAAAAAUAGUGGAAAAACUAUCUUGACGAUAUUCAAUGAAUAAGCCCCGGCAAACUAUGUGCCAGCAGCCGCGGUAAUACAUAGGGGGCGAGCGUUAUCCGGAAUUAUUGGGCGUAAAGGGUGCGUAGGCGGUUUAAUAAGUCUAUAGUUUAAUUUCAGUGCUUAACACUGUCCUGCUAUAGAAACUAUUAGACUAGAGUGAGAUAGAGGCAAGUGGAAUUCCAUGUGUAGCGGUAAAAUGCGUAAAUAUAUGGAGGAACACCAGAGGCGUAGGCGGCUUGCUGGGUCUUUACUGACGCUGAGGCACGAAAGCGUGGGGAGCAAACAGGAUUAGAUACCCUGGUAGUCCACGCCGUAAACGAUGAGUACUAAGUGUCGGGAUUACUCGGUACUGAAGUUAACACAUUAAGUACUCCGCCUGAGUAGUACGUACGCAAGUAUGAAACUUAAAGGAAUUGACGGGACUCCGCACAAGCGGUGGAUCAUGUUGUUUAAUUCGAAGAUACACGAAAAACCUUACCAGGUCUUGACAUACUCUGCAAAGCUAUAGCAAUAUAGUGGAGGUUAUCAGGUAUACAGGUGGUGCAUGGUUGUCGUCAGCUCGUGACGUGAGAUGUUAGGUUAAGUCCUAAAACGAGCGCACCCCUUGUCAUUAGUUGCCAGCAUGUCAUGAUGUGCACUUUAAUGAGACUGCCAAUGAACAUUGGAGGAACGUGAGGAUCACGUCUAAUCAUCAUGCCCCUUAUGAUCUGGGCUACAAACGUGAUACCACGGCUGGUACGAACAGCACCUGAAACGCAGUUUAUGCCAAUCUCGUAAAGCCUUCCCGGUCGAAUGAAAUCUGCAACUCAACUCCUGAAGUUGAAUCCUUCGAAUCGGGAAUCUGAAUGUCCCGGUGAACC